UUGUGGCAUUUGCUUUCUUGAUACUUGUUCGUUGCUCGGGUCUGCGGCAAAAUAGGGAGAAAGGAAAGGGUGCUGGCUGGAUUUGGAGAGAAAAGGAAAGAGAUGGCCAGAUGGGAGGAAGGAGAGAGAUGAGAGGGAAAGAGAGAGGUGAAAGGGGAAAGAAGAGUGGUGGAUAACCAAAAAAACCUGUUAUUGGAUGUGAAAGGGAUCUGUUUUAGCUAUUGAAUCAAAGUUGAUUGAUAUCAUUUUAACAAAUUAAAGUUGACUGAGUUAAAGUUAAAUAAUGCCUAUAAUUGAGAGAAGGUUGG
This 308-nucleotide unclassified non-coding RNA is filed under the name Hevea brasiliensis (rubber tree). Lineage: Eukaryota; Viridiplantae; Streptophyta; Magnoliopsida; Malpighiales; Euphorbiaceae. The record is from RNAcentral.